This 253-nucleotide ribosomal RNA is filed under the name uncultured bacterium. Its description in RNAcentral is "partial 16S ribosomal RNA". It matches the Rfam family "Bacterial small subunit ribosomal RNA", at positions 524 to 776 of the family's 1533-position model. The record is from RNAcentral.
UACGUAGGGUGCGAGCGUUAAUCGGAAUUACUGGGCGUAAAGCGUGCGCAGGCGGUUUUGCAAGCCGGAUGUGAAAUCCCCGGGCUCAACCUGGGAAUGGCAUUCGGGACUGCAAGGCUGGAGUGCGGCAGAGGAGACUGGAAUUCCUGGUGUAGCAGUGAAAUGCGUAGAUAUCAGGAGGAAUACCGAUGGCGAAGGCAGGUCUCUGGGCUGACACUGACGCUGAGGAGCGAAAGCGUGGGGAGCGAACAGG